This 497-nucleotide ribosomal RNA is filed under the name uncultured bacterium. Its description in RNAcentral is "partial 16S ribosomal RNA". It matches the Rfam family "Bacterial small subunit ribosomal RNA", at positions 28 to 507 of the family's 1533-position model. The record is from RNAcentral.
GAUGAACGCUGGCGGCGUGCCUAAUACAUGCAAGUCGAGCGAACGGACGAGAAGCUUGCUUCUCUGAUGUUAGCGGCGGACGGGUGAGUAACACGUGGAUAACCUACCUAUAAGACUGGGAUAACUUCGGGAAACCGGAGCUAAUACCGGAUAAUAUUUUGAACCGCAUGGUUCAAAAGUGAAAGACGGUCUUUCUGUCACUUAUAGAUGGAUCCGCGCUGCAUUAGCUAGUUGGUAAGGUAACGGCUUACCAAGGCAACGAUGCAUAGCCGACCUGAGAGAGUGAUCGGCCACCCUGGAACUGAGACACGGUCCAGACUCCUACGGGAGGCAGCAGUAGGGAAUCUUCCGCAAUGGGCGAAAGCCUGACGGAGCAACGCCGCGUGAGUGAUGAAGGUCUUCGGAUCGUAAAACUCUGUUAUUAGGGAAGAACAUAUGUGUAAGUAACUGUGCACAUCUUGACGGUACCUAAUCAGAAAGCCACGGCUAACUACGUG